AAAAAGGCAAACCCUGGAUUUUCGUGUUCAACUUUGACUAUCCGUCUUAUAUGAAAUUUUUUUAUAAUUCGUAUUUUCAUUGUUGUUAGAUGAUAAAACAUGAUUAAUAUUUUAUGCGUGACUUGUCUUUUUAAUUUUUUUCAUAACUUUUUUAAAUAAGACGGACGGUCAAAUAUUAGACACGGAAAC
Molecule: microRNA precursor, 189 nt
Filed under: Oryza sativa Japonica Group (Japanese rice)
Lineage: Eukaryota; Viridiplantae; Streptophyta; Magnoliopsida; Poales; Poaceae
Description: MIR812 microRNA precursor family
Rfam family: MIR812 microRNA precursor family
Source: Rfam by way of RNAcentral